UGUACAGUCAGGUGCAGAAAAACCUGACCCCCUGCAUUUCAAAUAGAAAUUCAAACUACGCAAAGCCAAUUUGUCGGUGUGACGUAUGUUGCGGUAGUGCUCGUGUCUAUAGACAGACACAGAACUAUUUUACUAUUCUCCUAUUUAUAUCCAUCAUUUAGAUUUUAGAUAAUAUCCAUCAUUUACACAAACUAACGAAUUCAUAGAACAAUAAUAUUAUGAAAUACAAAAUUUAAAUUAUUUUUGUUUUUCAUCUGGGCUCGAACCCGCGGCCCAAUUAUUCGCAAACCAACCAUUUGCCCGCUACGCCACGAAGCUUAUUGAACUCGUUUGCAAAAUAGUGAAUAUGUUGCGGUUCAUUAGCAAAAGUAUAGUCUAUGUAGUGAAUAGUGAUAAUUGUUUACAAUAUGAAAUAUUAUAAGCGCAGAGGGUAUUUUGAAUUUAUUUCUCAUUUGAAAUUGUAGACUUGAAGAGAAUGUUUUGUUGCAUUGAGAUGGGUUUUGUUAAUUCCAUCUGAUUGAUCUGAUUUAUAUUUAUACCUAUAAUAUAAUCAAAAUUAUUGAUUUGUAACGAUGACAAACGAAUUUAUUAACAAGGUCAUCAUUAUUAAUUGAGUUAAGUGCCAGGACAACAUUGGGUUACCGAAGAUGGAUGUCCUAUAAUGGGCCCUGAAGAACUGUUAUAAAAUAGCUAACGCAUGACAAGAUUUAAUUUGAGAAUUUUAAGGAUGAUAUUAUGGUUGCUGUUUGCAUUGCGUCAGAAAUAUCUUCUACACGAUAACAGCUCAACUCGCAAAGAAGAAAUGGAACAUUAUAACUAUGUUAUUAUACGUUUAGUAGGUAUUUAACGGGUCCCCAGUUUAAAAAUGAGUAAAAUUUAUUUAGUAGUAAGAUAAUUAUUUGUUCAUACUGUUAAGAUAAUUGAUUACAUAUUUAUAAGUAACUACUUAGUAAUAAAAUUGUUGCUUAUUUAUAAUUUAAUUGUAGAAAACAACAAGAGAUGUAAAUUGUGAAAUUUAGUAACAUGUUGGUUCUCAUUGUUGUAAUUCUACAAUUUUUGAAUUUGUUUACUUUUGUUCAUAAUUAUUCUGCAUACAGACUAAUAAUAUUUACUUGUUUAGUGAAAUAAAGUUCUUUUUCUUA
This is a non-coding RNA of Plutella xylostella (diamondback moth), 1142 nucleotides long. The record is from RefSeq and is a predicted model, not a curated record. NCBI's taxonomy places the organism in Eukaryota, Metazoa, Arthropoda, Insecta, Lepidoptera, Plutellidae.